This is a non-coding RNA of Macaca mulatta (Rhesus monkey), 1612 nucleotides long. NCBI's taxonomy places the organism in Eukaryota, Metazoa, Chordata, Mammalia, Primates, Cercopithecidae. The record is from RefSeq and is a predicted model, not a curated record.
GGGUCCGGGACGGCGGGGCCUCCGCAGGGCGCCUGGCCCUUGGUGACCUCGGCGGAGACCGCGGGCUGCGCGGCGGAAAGCGGAGGAACUCCCGUCCGGCCCCGGAGUCGCCCGCGCCGCGCCCGGAGCCACCCGCCGCCCCUUCGCGUCCGGGCGCUCCAGGCGCGGGGCCCCAGAGGCUCCCGGUCCCUGGCCUCCCCUACUGGGUUCGGGGCAGUUGGCCGUGGACGCGCCCCAAGUCCAGUCCCUUCCGUCCAGCCGCCCGCCCCAGGAUGUCCCCCCACCGCAGCCCCGCCGUGGCCAGGAGGUGUGGGCGGCCACGCCGGAGGGACCCACGGCGGCACCGGACGUCAGCCCUUCGUAGGCCCUGACCCGGCCCGGGUGGGCCGGGACGUUCCCUGUUGCACAGGCAUUUAUUUAUUCAGCAGCUACUACGUGCUGGCCGGCACUGCCGAGGGACCGGACGCCUGCCCCAGGCGGGACAAUGCCGGGAGCAGCGCUAGCGGGUUCUGGACGUCCAGCUUCAGGGUCCCCAGCCCCUCAGCCUGAGGGGCGCCUCCCAGGCCCUGGACUCCUCUCCAGCCGGGUCUACACCACCGUCCCCCGUCAUCUUCUUCUGGGUUACUGAGCAGCUUCUUUUAAAAUAGCAACACCGAGGAAGGCCCCGAAGCCCAGUCUUGCACCUCGUGGUGUGAAGUCGUUUAAUCCUGCCCGCUAAUGCGAAAGGACUUUCCACCGUGUGCAGGACUCGGCGCUGGGCAGGGGCUCUCGCAGGGUUUGAACCGACCUCCGCCUCCGCCUGCGGGUUCACAGGCCGGCGAGGGAGUCCCGGGAAGGAGACGCGCUACUGUGCGAGGCUGGCCUGAGCGGCUUGGGCAGUGGUUGUCCGGGGCUGGGGACGGCUUUCGGCUCCCCAGGCCAUUCCGUCGGGGUAUCUGCGGCCAAUCUCGAAGGUGAAGAGGCUCAGGGUUGGCACAGACUUCACGGGAGGGGUCCUAGAAGGGGAAAGGGGUGAUAUUUGCCCUUAGCGCAGUCUGGGCGUGACGCGGAAACUUUAAAUCACCAGAACCUCUGGAGAGCUUGGAGCACCUGGGAAGGAGCAACCAGAGUGGGCCGGAGUUAGGGAAGGAAGGCAUCGCGGCGAAUUCGCCCGCUUUGACCGCCUUUAGGGCGGCCGCUUGUGCAGCCAGCCUUCUGGAAGGUAGGCUUUGCGCUUGGUGCAGAGAAGCCCCCUCCUCCGGAUCUGUGUUCCGCCCCAGUCCAUGAAUAAGGAGGUGAUCGCACAAGUCAAGCUUCUCUAGUUCUCGGUGGAAUGAGACGCCCUUAUGGGGUCUUAAGGUUGAAUGUUUGAAUACUGUAAAAAAGAUGGGACCUACCUACAAAUAAUCUCUUACACUACUGAGCAAAUGUGCGUUGCUGUGGACUUCUCUAAAUUGGCCCAAAUGCAUAGCCAGCGCUUGCAUUGUGGUGUACUAACAACAUCAUUCAGAACCAAACCAAACCAUUCUUAUUUAAACCUUGCUUCCUAGUUUAUUUUUUCCCAAACAAGUUGAAAACAUUUGUUAUACUAAAAUGUCUACAUCUUAUUACUUUAAAAAAAAAAAGUAACAAA